Molecule: ribosomal RNA, 1372 nt
Filed under: uncultured bacterium
Lineage: Bacteria
Description: bacterial SSU rRNA
Rfam family: Bacterial small subunit ribosomal RNA
Source: RNAcentral
GAUGAACGCUGGCGGCGUGCCUAAUACAUGCAAGUCGAGCGAACGGACGAGAAGCUUGCUUCUCUGAUGUUAGCGGCGGACGGGUGAGUAACACGUGGAUAACCUACCUAUAAGACUGGGAUAACUUCGGGAAACCGGAGCUAAUACCGGAUAAUAUUUUGAACCGCAUGGUUCAAAAGUAAAAGACGGUCUUGCUGUCACUUAUAGAUGGAUCCGCGCUGCAUUAGCUAGUUGGUAAGGUAACGGCUUACCAAGGCAACGAUGCAUAGCCGACCUGAGAGGGUGAUCGGCCACACUGGAACUGAGACACGGUCCAGACUCCUACGGGAGGCAGCAGUAGGGAAUCUUCCGCAAUGGGCGAAAGCCUGACGGAGCAACGCCGCGUGAGUGAUGAAGGUCUUCGGAUCGUAAAACUCUGUUAUUAGGGAAGAAUAUAUGUGUAAGUAACUGUGCACAUCUUGACGGUACCUAAUCAGAAAGCCACGGCUAACUACGUGCCAGCAGCCGCGGUAAUACGUAGGUGGCAAGCGUUAUCCGGAAUUAUUGGGCGUAAAGCGCGCGUAGGCGGUUUUUUAAGUCUGAUGUGAAAGCCCACGGCUCAACCGUGGAGGGUCAUUGGAAACUGGAAAACUUGAGUGCAGAAGAGGAAAGUGGAAUUCCAUGUGUAGCGGUGAAAUGCGCAGAGAUAUGGAGGAACACCAGUGGCGAAGGCGACUUUCUGGUCUGUAACUGACGCUGAUGUGCGAAAGCGUGGGGAUCAAACAGGAUUAGAUACCCUGGUAGUCCACGCCGUAAACGAUGAGUGCUAAGUGUUAGGGGGUUUCCGCCCCUUAGUGCUGCAGCUAACGCAUUAAGCACUCCGCCUGGGGAGUACGACCGCAAGGUUGAAACUCAAAGGAAUUGACGGGGACCCGCACAAGCGGUGGAGCAUGUGGUUUAAUUCGAAGCAACGCGAAGAACCUUACCAAAUCUUGACAUCCUCUGACCCCUCUAGAGAUAGAGUUUUCCCCUUCGGGGGACAGAGUGACAGGUGGUGCAUGGUUGUCGUCAGCUCGUGUCGUGAGAUGUUGGGUUAAGUCCCGCAACGAGCGCAACCCUUAAGCUUAGUUGCCAUCAUUAAGUUGGGCACUCUAAGUUGACUGCCGGUGACAAACCGGAGGAAGGUGGGGAUGACGUCAAAUCAUCAUGCCCCUUAUGAUUUGGGCUACACACGUGCUACAAUGGACAAUACAAAGGGUAGCGAAACCGCGAGGUCAAGCAAAUCCCAUAAAGUUGUUCUCAGUUCGGAUUGUAGUCUGCAACUCGACUAUAUGAAGCUGGAAUCGCUAGUAAUCGUAGAUCAGCAUGCUACGGUGAAUACGUUCCCGGGUCU